CGAACGGCAGCACAGUGGUAGCAAUACCAUGGGUGGCGAGUGGCGGACGGGUGAGGAAUACAUCGGAAUCUACCUUUUCGUGGGGGAUAACGUAGGGAAACUUACGCUAAUACCGCAUACGACCUUAGGGUGAAAGCGGAGGACCUUCGGGCUUCGCGCGGAUAGAUGAGCCGAUGUCGGAUUAGCUAGUUGGCGGGGUAAAGGCCCACCAAGGCGACGAUCCGUAGCUGGUCUGAGAGGAUGAUCAGCCACACUGGAACUGAGACACGGUCCAGACUCCUACGGGAGGCAGCAGUGGGGAAUAUUGGACAAUGGGCGCAAGCCUGAUCCAGCCAUGCCGCGUGGGUGAAGAAGGCCUUCGGGUUGUAAAGCCCUUUUGUUGGGAAAGAAAAGCAGUCGGUUAAUACCCGAUUGUUCUGACGGUACCCAAAGAAUAAGCACCGGCUAACUUCGUGCCAGCAGCCGCGGUAAUACGAAGGGUGCAAGCGUUACUCGGAAUUACUGGGCGUAAAGCGUGCGUAGGUGGUUGUUUAAGUCCGUUGUGAAAGCCCUGGGCUCAACCUGGGAAUUGCAGUGGAUACUGGGCAACUAGAGUGUGGUAGAGGAUGGCGGAAUUCCCGGUGUAGCAGUGAAAUGCGUAUAGAUCGGGAGGAACAUCUGUGGCGAAGGCGGCCAUCUGGACCAACACUGACACUGAGGCACGAAAGC
This 708-nucleotide ribosomal RNA is filed under the name Xanthomonas sp. PLGR-5. Its description in RNAcentral is "bacterial SSU rRNA". It matches the Rfam family "Bacterial small subunit ribosomal RNA", at positions 63 to 760 of the family's 1533-position model. Lineage: Bacteria; Pseudomonadati; Pseudomonadota; Gammaproteobacteria; Lysobacterales; Lysobacteraceae. The record is from RNAcentral.